CUCGCUAAGCGAGCAGAAUGGGUCGCCUAGCGAGUCCCAAGAAAAGCCACCAGAAUCACCUACGCUCAGAGGAAUUUCUUGAACUGUCAUGCUCGUUAGGCGAAGCCCACGUGUUUAAAAAAAAAAAGAGAACGAAAAACGAAAAAAAAAACGGAAAAAAAAUGAAAAUAAAUAAAUAAAUAAAAUAUAACAAAAAAUUUUUGGACUUGGGCCUCUCUCAUUUGAGCCCACAGGUCCACAAAAAUCAGGUUAUAAAUUCAGAGUUUCAGUGAAACAAAAGGCAAUUCUAUUCCUACUACCCUGGCAGGGAAAAAGAUAGUGAGAGAAGAGCUAAUAGAGUUCAGAGCAACCUCCAGAGACUGAAGGGAACUCAUCGGAAAAUAAC
Molecule: long non-coding RNA, 385 nt
Filed under: Lathyrus oleraceus (garden pea)
Lineage: Eukaryota; Viridiplantae; Streptophyta; Magnoliopsida; Fabales; Fabaceae
Description: Pisum sativum (pea) long non-coding RNA (PSAT_LNC026552)
Source: RNAcentral